GGAUUGUGGCUCAGUGGUAGAAUGCUCGCCUAGCACGUGCAAGGCCCUGGGUUUGAGUCUCAGCACCA
RNAcentral lists this transfer RNA (68 nucleotides) under Marmota monax (woodchuck). RNAcentral's name for it is "tRNA.Ala". The record is from RNAcentral. Lineage: Eukaryota; Metazoa; Chordata; Mammalia; Rodentia; Sciuridae.